GGCCCCGUCGUCUAGCGGCCUAGGACACCGCCCUUUCACGGCGGUAACACGGGUUCGAGUCCCGUCGGGGUCA
This 73-nucleotide transfer RNA is filed under the name Planctomycetales bacterium. Its description in RNAcentral is "tRNA-Glu". It matches the Rfam family "tRNA". Rfam says of the family: Transfer RNA (tRNA) molecules are approximately 80 nucleotides in length. Lineage: Bacteria; Pseudomonadati; Planctomycetota; Planctomycetia; Planctomycetales. RNAcentral also lists the same sequence under 1 other name. The record is from RNAcentral.